GAUGAGGAUAGGGAGGAGGAG
This 21-nucleotide microRNA is filed under the name Arabidopsis thaliana (thale cress). RNAcentral's name for it is "ath-miR854c". Its record names the gene ath-miR854a. The record is from miRBase by way of RNAcentral. Lineage: Eukaryota; Viridiplantae; Streptophyta; Magnoliopsida; Brassicales; Brassicaceae.